GGAUUAGAUACCCGGGUAGUCCACGCCCUAAACGAUGAAUACUAGUUGUCGGGAUACCUAAUUGUCUCGGUGACGAAGCUAACGCAUUAAGUAUUCCGCCUGGGGAUUACGGUCGCAAGAUUAAAACUCAAAGGAAUUGACGGGGGCCCGCACAAGCGGUGGAGCAUGUGGUUUAAUUCGAUGCUACGCGAAAAACCUUACCCAGGCUUGACAUCCCGCGCUACCCUAUGAAAGUAGGGGUUCCCUUCGGGGACGCGGUGACAGGUGCUGCAUGGCUGUCGUCAGCUCGUGUUGUGAGAUGUUGGGUUAAGUCCCGCAACGAGCGCAACCCUCGUCACUAGUUACCAGCAUUUAGUUGGGGACUCUAGUGAGACCGCUGGGCUAUAAGCCAGAG
This 394-nucleotide ribosomal RNA is filed under the name uncultured bacterium. RNAcentral describes it as "bacterial SSU rRNA". It matches the Rfam family "Bacterial small subunit ribosomal RNA", at positions 775 to 1168 of the family's 1533-position model. The record is from RNAcentral.